AACGAACGCUGGCGGCAUGCCUAACACAUGCAAGUCGAACGAGACCUUCGGGUCUAGUGGCGCACGGGUGCGUAACGCGUGGGAACCUGCCCUUAGGUUCGGAAUAACUCCCCGAAAGGGGUGCUAAUACCGGAUAAUGUCUUCGGACCAAAGAUUUAUCGCCUUUGGAUGGGCCCGCGUUGGAUUAGCUAGUUGGUAGGGUAAAAGCCUACCAAGGCGACGAUGCAUAGCUGGUCUGAGAGGAUGAUCAGCCACACUGGGACUGCGACACGGCCCAGACUGCUACGGAAGGCAGCAGUGGGGAAUAUUGGACAAUGGGCGAAAGCCUGAUCCAGCAAUGCCGCGUGAGUGAUGAAGGCGUUAGGGUUGUAAAGCUCUUUUACCCGGGAUGAUAAUGACAGUACCGGGAGAAUAAGCUCCGGCUAACUCCGUG
RNAcentral lists this ribosomal RNA (433 nucleotides) under uncultured bacterium. Its description in RNAcentral is "partial 16S ribosomal RNA". It matches the Rfam family "Bacterial small subunit ribosomal RNA", at positions 29 to 507 of the family's 1533-position model. The record is from RNAcentral.